GAUGAACGCUAGCGGCAGGCCUAAUACAUGCAAGUCGAGGGAUAGUAUCGUAGCAAUAUGAUAUGAAACCGGCGCACGGGUGCGUAACACGUAUGCAACCUACCUUUCACUGGGGAAUAGCUCCGAGAAAUCGGAAUUAAUACCCCAUAACAUUACGACCUGGCAUCAGGAUGUAAUUAAAGCUCCGGCGGUGAUUGAUGGGCAUGCGUUGCAUUAGCUAGUUGGUGAGGUAAA
Molecule: ribosomal RNA, 234 nt
Filed under: uncultured bacterium
Lineage: Bacteria
Description: partial 16S ribosomal RNA
Rfam family: Bacterial small subunit ribosomal RNA
Source: RNAcentral